This 497-nucleotide ribosomal RNA is filed under the name uncultured bacterium. RNAcentral describes it as "partial 16S ribosomal RNA". It matches the Rfam family "Bacterial small subunit ribosomal RNA", at positions 28 to 507 of the family's 1533-position model. The record is from RNAcentral.
GAUGAACGCUGGCGGCGUGCCUAAUACAUGCAAGUCGAGCGAACAGACGAGGAGCUUGCUCCUUUGACGUUAGCGGCGGACGGGUGAGUAACACGUGGGUAACCAACCUAUAAGACGGGGAUAACUUCGGGAAAAAGGAGCUAAUACCGGAUAAUAUUACGAACCGCAUGGUUCGAUAGUGAAAGAGGGCUUUGGUAACACAAAUAGAUGGAGCUGCGCCGUAUUAGCUAGUUGGUAAGGUAACGGCUUACCAAGGCAACGAUCCGUAGCCGAGCUGAGAGGGUGAUCGGCCACACUGGAACUGAGACACGGUCCAGACUCCUACGGGAGGCAGCAGUAGGGAAUAUUCCGCAAUGGGCGAAAGCCUGACGGAGCAACGCCGCGUGAGUGAUGAAGGUCUUCGGAUCGUAAAACUCUGUUGUUAGGGAAGAACAACCGUGUAAGUAACUGUGCACGUCUUGACGGUACCUAAUCAGAAAGCCACGGCUAACUACGUG